GUACUUGCUUCAGCAGCACAUAUACUAAAAUUAGAAUGAUACAGAGAAGAUUAACAUGGCCCCUGCACAAGAAUAACAUGCAAAUUCAUGAAGUGUUCCAUAUUUUU
Molecule: small nuclear RNA, 107 nt
Organism: Pongo abelii (Sumatran orangutan)
Lineage: Eukaryota; Metazoa; Chordata; Mammalia; Primates; Hominidae
Source: Ensembl